Long non-coding RNA from Tachysurus fulvidraco (yellow catfish), 2183 nucleotides. RefSeq lists it as uncharacterized. Lineage: Eukaryota; Metazoa; Chordata; Actinopteri; Siluriformes; Bagridae. The record is from RefSeq and is a predicted model, not a curated record. The transcript has 3 exons.
GAUUUGGAAUCAUCACAUAUUCCUCUGAAGCUGAAGCCUACACAGUUAUCAGGGAGAUGAAUGAGAAGAUUGUGGGAAGGAAGCAGCUGAUUAUUACUCUGUCUAAAACAAAACAGGAACUAGCAGAGCAGAAGAUCAGGAAUGGCUGGAAAAGAAGGAUGAGUUUAACCGGAGACUCAAAGAGGAACGACUAGCCACAAAUGGAUCCAGCAGAAAUCUUCCUUUGCCUAUGUCAGGAGGAUUCCCCAGUCGAGGAAUAUGCUGAGGUAUUCAUGGACCUGUGUAACCAGGUCAACUUUGGAGAGAAGGCCUUAAAGGACAUAUUCAGGCAUGGACUAGAAAACAACCUGCGCUACUUAAUGCCGACUAGCCGGGAGAUAGGAUCGUUGUCGGAUUUUGUCAACUUAGCGUUGCUCCUGGGCGACAGAAGCCGGCCUUAAACAUUUUUGGGGGGGGCAGCAAGCAUCGGGGUCCGUGGGCUACAGAGCGGAACCAGCCACGGACGCCCGAAUGCCCUACAGUGCCUAUGUCCAGCCCAGUCCCGUCGGCCUCACCAGCCGAACCGACCGGGUCGCCGGAACCAGAUGAGCCAAACAGGUCGCCGGAACCAGCCAAACCAGCCGGAUCGCCGGAACCAGCCGGACCAAUCGGACCAGGUUAGUCUCAGAGAGGAACUGUCUCUCUCACAUCUAAUCAGCAGUCCACUCCUGGCUGGCUCACCAUGAUGUUGCACACACAGAAGAGGCGGAGACUUCUGGUGGCACAUAUAUUGUUUUAUUGCUGAAAAAGAACUGUAAAAACACAAACAAAGAUAGAAAUUAGUUAUCUUUCAACUGUGUAUCAGUGACUGCCAGAGUGGCUUCUUCAUAUAUCAAUGAAGCUCUACUGUAUGUUCACAAACUCACUUUGCGCAAUCUAUUGACAACACAUCAAAAGAAAAUGAAAAUAUAUUCCUGAAUACUGUCUGUAACACAUUAACAUUUUCAUGGCAUCAGACAGACAAUAAUACUCCAUACUCAAUAACCAUACACAAAUGGUGUAUAAGCACUUUGUUUCCUUUUUAGUAGGCUAUUUCUCUUUAUGUGCUCUGUUGUAAACAAUCUGUAUCAGCAAUUUAGUUGUCCCUUCCCCAUGACAGAUGCACAGAACACAACUGUAACAAUAAAUAACUCUUUCAUAACAACGAGUGAUUAUAAUUAUAUUUUCUGACAUUAGGCACUUAAGUCGUAAUGCAUCACACGGCCCCCACCAGCGCAGUCGUGUCGGCCGCCUCCUAGCCGCGAUUGCGCUAUCCAUCGCGCGGGUGCAGCCGGCCGUACCUCACCCGUUUAAUUGAUCUGUGUAAUUAUACACAUUUAUCAAACUAACACAUAUAACUAAUGUAUAAACAUUUUAUGAACACAAACUGUGAUGCCACAUCACUCAUCUUACCUGUAAAAACACAAAGAUAUAAAUUAGUUAUCUUUCAACUGUGUAUCAGUGACUGCCAGAGUGGCUUCUUCACGUAUCAAUGAAGCUCUAUGUCCUGCGGCUCACGAUCACCCUCUAGUGUCACCCGUCAGCGUCUACAGGUCUAAGUGAUGUUCAAGUUCGCAUCAUUGCACAGUAUUAUAUACAAAUACAUUUGCAUAUACAUUUAAUGCAAGAACCAUAUUUAACAAAUAAUAACUAAUAAUACUAAUGAGAAACAACACAUACAUGACUACUUGAAUCCAUAUCACUACACCUUUUACAAAGGAGAAGACGAACUUCUGAGGUAAAUAUUUCCUGAAAUGUUUCCUAACUUAUAUUUACACAAAUAAGGCAAAGUUUUGACACAGAAAUGUUGGCUAUUUUACUCAAUAUUAACUUUAGACACUGUCUAUGGACGAUGAAGUGGUUUAGUACAACGGAAUGCGUGUCGCCUUUAAAUCGCUCUUGCACGUCAAAUAACUGCCUUUUACAAAGGAGAAGAUGAACUUCUGAAGUAAAUUACUCUUGAAACAUUUCUUAACUUUUAUUUCCACAAAUAAGGCAAAGUUUUGUGACAGAAAUGUUGGAUAUUUCACUCUAUAUUAACUUUAGACUCUGAGGUAAAUUACUCAUGAAACGUUUCCUAAUUUAUAUUUACAUAGAUGCUGCUAACCUUGGGGCAGUGGUGGCUCAAGUGGUUAUGUUGUUGAUCAGAGGAUCACUCUGUCACU